GAUCCUCUCCCUGAGCCUUCCCAACACCAGGGGGACACAGUCACUGACUGUGGACAUUCACUGAAAGGAGGGAACCAGGACUCAGAGGACCUGCUUGGUUGAUGGUGAAGUGGAGGUAAGCUGCCUCUGCGAGGAUGGGGCCACGGUCCGCUCAUCUUGACAGAGCCAGUUGAGUACCCUGGGAUGCAGGUGAGUAUUUAUCGGGGGUAGGGGGUGGGAAUGCCCAGGGGCAGACCCAGAUGGUAAAGUGGCUCAGCACAGAAAAAGGCUCUUUCAUGCUGAGGACCUGUGGGCCAUCCCCUCAGAUCUUCACCUGGCACUCCAUUUUGCCAAAACAUCAGAGCAUCGCUAAAUGUGGCAGUGACUGCUUGGUGGUGUGGAACCCCUCACUAGAGGCUCACUGGCAGGUGCAGGUGGGCAGUGGCACCUGCUGAAUGGGAUUUGCUGUUGACAACGCAGACAUGCAGUGGAGGGCUGAGAAACAGAGGUUCCCGAAGGAUAGAGAAAUGGUGCAAAGUCAGGCUGGAGGAUAUGGAGGAACUGUGAUUUGAACCCAGGAACCCUGGAGACAGAAGCCCUCACCCCUGCUGCAUGCUGCCCUGGCCCUUCCAUGACAGGCAGCUCUGCCCACGGAGGCACACACUGUUUUUAAAAAUCUGUUAUUGCAC
This is a long non-coding RNA of Symphalangus syndactylus (siamang), 668 nucleotides long. RefSeq lists it as uncharacterized. Lineage: Eukaryota; Metazoa; Chordata; Mammalia; Primates; Hylobatidae. The record is from RefSeq and is a predicted model, not a curated record.